RNAcentral lists this ribosomal RNA (253 nucleotides) under uncultured bacterium. RNAcentral's name for it is "partial 16S ribosomal RNA". It matches the Rfam family "Bacterial small subunit ribosomal RNA", at positions 524 to 776 of the family's 1533-position model. The record is from RNAcentral.
UACAGGGGGGGCAAGCGUUGUUCGGAAUUACUGGGCGUAAAGGGCUCGUAGGCGGCCAACUAAGUCACACGUGAAAUCCCCAGGCUCAACCUGGGAACUGCGUGUGAUACUGGAUGGCUUGAAUUCGGGAGAGGGAUGCAGAAUUCCAGGUGUAGCGGUGAAAUGCGUAGAUAUCUGGAGGAAUACCGGUGGCGAAGGCGGCAUCCUGGACCGGUAUUGACGCUGAGGCGCGAAAGCUAGGGGAGCAAACGGG